UGACAUUGGGGCGUGAGAAAUUAAUUGUUGAAAGGGGAUCAGCGCUGUGUGGGUGCCUGAUGUCCAUUGAAUGAUAUGAUUUGGACACUCUUCGAGUGGCUGUUUUAGAUGAAGAGUCAUCCUGGAGUUUUUUUUUUUUUUUUUCUUCUCUUUCCUUUUUCUCUAUGGUUUUUAUUGGGAGACUCGCUUGCACGGUUUCCAGAACCUGGGCUUUUGUUGAUAUCUAACGAUUUGAUCGAAAUAUAAUUGAUAUAUUGUCAGUCACUUGUAACUAUGUAGAAAGGAGC
This 287-nucleotide small RNA is filed under the name Histoplasma capsulatum. RNAcentral's name for it is "hypothetical RNA". The record is from RNAcentral. Lineage: Eukaryota; Fungi; Ascomycota; Eurotiomycetes; Onygenales; Ajellomycetaceae.